RNAcentral lists this long non-coding RNA (670 nucleotides) under Struthio camelus australis. RNAcentral describes it as "lncRNA (ENSSCUG00000002072.1)". The record is from RNAcentral. Lineage: Eukaryota; Metazoa; Chordata; Aves; Struthioniformes; Struthionidae.
UCACAGACUGUAAAUGGUUAUAGUUUCAGUUUCUUUUCUUAGCUGAGAAAUUCUUUUUCUCUUUUCCUUAGCUGUCGCAAUAAAUCACACCUGGGUGACCUAUAAUAAAUAUUUAUUAUUUAUAUUAUUUAUAAAUAUUUUUUCUGACUUCUGAAUUCUUCUUCUUUUAGAUGUUAAGGAUUUUGCUGUUGUUAUUGAUUCUAGGCAAGCUCGGAGUCUAUAUUUGUGGUCAGAGCAUACCUUUUUCACCUAGGUUGUGUUUCUUUUCCAGGGUUUUGCUUGAGGAAUUUUAAAAAGAAACAUUUUACUCAGCUGAUGAGUGGCCUGUUCAAACUUAGUUUUUCAUUAGUGCGUUAUGUUUUUAUUUCCCGUUGAAUGUUGCAACUGGAGUUACAUGGAAGUUCAUCCAAGAUUCUAUCUGUCUUCUACUGGACGAUUAAGCUCCUAAUAAACUCAGAUAGAAACAAAUACCAGGCUGGAGUCUUCUGGAAUGUAUUGCCUUGACAUAUUUAAUGAUAAAGGUAUUUCAUUUUCCUCUUUGUGAGAAUAGAAGUCGUUAACAUUAAUAGGAUAUCCAUGCUUGUCAAAAAAAAAAAAAGGACAAAGUUCUUAAAUUCAUAAAUACUUCAUUCACUAUAUCCAGUUUCUCUGAAAUUCAUUUCCCUUUUCC